Molecule: ribosomal RNA, 457 nt
Filed under: Gemella haemolysans
Lineage: Bacteria; Bacillati; Bacillota; Bacilli; Caryophanales; Gemellaceae
Description: bacterial SSU rRNA
Rfam family: Bacterial small subunit ribosomal RNA
Source: RNAcentral
GACGAACGCUGGCGGCGUGCCUAAUACAUGCAAGUCGAGCGAAGUUUUUCUGGUGCUUGCACUAGAAAAACUUAGCGGCGAACGGGUGAGUAACACGUAAAGAACCUGCCUCAUAGACUGGGACAACUAUUGGAAACGAUAGCUAAUACCGGAUAACAGCAUUAACUGUAUGGUUGAUGUUUAAAAGUUGGUUUUGCUAACACUAUGAGAUGGCUUUGCGGUGCAUUAGCUAGUUGGUGGGGUAAAGGCCUACCAAGGCGACGAUGCAUAGCCGACCUGAGAGGGUGAUCGGCCACACUGGGACUGAGACACGGCCCAGACUCCUACGGGAGGCAGCAGUAGGGAAUCUUCCGCAAUGGGCGAAAGCCUGACGGAGCAACGCCGCGUGAGUGAAGAAGGAUUUCGGUUCGUAAAGCUCUGUUGUUAGGGAAGAAUGAUUGUGUAGUAACUAUACACA